GGGGAUUUAGCUAAGCGGUGUAAGUGCCUGCCUUGCAAGCAGGCAGCCAUGAGUUCGAUCCCUG
Molecule: transfer RNA, 64 nt
Filed under: Cavia porcellus (domestic guinea pig)
Lineage: Eukaryota; Metazoa; Chordata; Mammalia; Rodentia; Caviidae
Rfam family: tRNA
About the family: Transfer RNA (tRNA) molecules are approximately 80 nucleotides in length. Their secondary structure includes four short double-helical elements and three loops (D, anti-codon, and T loops). Further hydrogen bonds mediate the characteristic L-shaped molecular structure. tRNAs have two regions of fundamental functional importance: the anti-codon, which is responsible for specific mRNA codon recognition, and the 3' end, to which the tRNAs corresponding amino acid is attached (by aminoacyl-tRNA synthetases). tRNAs cope with the degeneracy of the genetic code in two manners: having more than one tRNA (with a specific anti-codon) for a particular amino acid; and 'wobble' base-pairing, i.e. permitting non-standard base-pairing at the 3rd anti-codon position.
Source: Rfam by way of RNAcentral